GUAGGGUGCGAGCGUUAUCCGGAAUCAUUGGGCGUAAAGAGCUCGUAGGCGGUUCAGCAAGUCGGCUGUGAAAUUCCGAGGCUCAACCUCGGAACUGCAGUCGAUACUGUUGUGACUCGAGUCCGGUAGAGGAGAAUGGAAUUCCCGGUGUAGCGGUGAAAUGCGCAGAUAUCGGGAGGAACACCAGUAGCGAAGGCGGUCCUCUGGGCCGGCACUGACGCUGAGGAGCGAAAGCGUGGGGUAGCAAACAGGAUUAGAUACCCUGGUAGUCCACGCCGUAAACGUUGGAUACUAGGUGUGGGGUUCCGACCCAACGGUCCCCCCCCGUGCCGAAGCUAACGCAUUAAGUAUCCCCGCCUGGGGAGUACGGCCCGCAAAGGCUAA
RNAcentral lists this ribosomal RNA (384 nucleotides) under uncultured organism. Its description in RNAcentral is "partial 16S ribosomal RNA". It matches the Rfam family "Bacterial small subunit ribosomal RNA", at positions 527 to 897 of the family's 1533-position model. The record is from RNAcentral.